UACGGAGGGUGCGAGCGUUGUCCGGAAUCACUGGGCGUAAAGGGCGCGUAGGCGGCCUGAUAAGUAGGGGGUGAAAUCCUGCGGCUUAACCGCAGGGCUGCCUUCUAAACUGUCAGGCUCGAGCACAGUAGAGGCAGGUGGAAUUCCCGGUGUAGCGGUGGAAUGCGUAGAGAUCGGGAAGAACAUCAGUGGCGAAGGCGGCCUGCUGGGCCGUUGCUGACGCUGAGGCGCGACAGCGUGGGGAGCAAACAGG
RNAcentral lists this ribosomal RNA (253 nucleotides) under uncultured bacterium. RNAcentral describes it as "partial 16S ribosomal RNA". It matches the Rfam family "Bacterial small subunit ribosomal RNA", at positions 524 to 776 of the family's 1533-position model. The record is from RNAcentral.